Engraulis encrasicolus (European anchovy) is the source of this 707-nucleotide long non-coding RNA. RefSeq lists it as uncharacterized. The transcript is spliced from 3 exons. The record is from RefSeq and is a predicted model, not a curated record. Lineage: Eukaryota; Metazoa; Chordata; Actinopteri; Clupeiformes; Engraulidae.
GAAGCUGCUCUGACUCCAAUCCCUGGCGUAGGCCUUUGGCACCAGGCAGCAAAUUCAAGCUGGCCUACUUGGAAGAGACACUGCCAUGGAUCGCAUCUUGGACCUUCAGCGAACACAGGCCAAAUUUCCAGCCCCCCUGUCAACGUGGGCUCAUCCUCACAAUACGCUCCAUCCUGCUCCUGGUUAGUGAGCUCCAAGGCCUAGGCCUAAAAUUCUUGCCAACCGCCAGGCUUAACCAGGACUGUUUGGAGAAUCUGUUUUCCGUCAUCAGGGGAAAGGGGGGCCAUAGAUACAACCCCACUUCAAGGGAAUUUACAGUUGCCCUAAAAAGCACCUCAAUCGCAGCUUUCAUUGCCCCCCAAAAAACAAGCAACUGCAUAACACAUGAAACCACUGCCACACUUGUGAGCAGGAGGACCACCCAAGUCGACUCAAUGCCAAUCUCACAGAUGUGUAGCAAAAUGCAAGACAAAAGUAGAUAAUUGUUUGUCUGUAGCAUCAUCAUAAUCACAGCUCAUGCACCAAUCCAUGUACUUUUAAUACACCCAACAAUACAGUCUUGGUAGACUUAGUCAAAGUCAAAUUAAUAAUCAAGUCAAUGUUGUUACUAGUGUGUUUUAGAAACACUUCAGGAAGACAGUGAGGACAGUGAGUUGGUUGACACUGUAGCAUCAGCAACAACAGACGAAGUGGAAGAGGAAGUGCUG